CUUUCGACCAAACCCUGAAUCUCC
RNAcentral lists this non-coding RNA (24 nucleotides) under Arabidopsis thaliana (thale cress). The record is from RNAcentral. Lineage: Eukaryota; Viridiplantae; Streptophyta; Magnoliopsida; Brassicales; Brassicaceae.